CCAGUGGAUUUCUGCACCAAAACCCAAUAGGGCCACCACUACCCUGACACACUUGUGACAGAAGGCUAAACAGAAUUUAGAAAAGACUUAGCAUAGAGUUCCUCAGAAAUACAGAAAUUUCCUUUGGAGCCCUCAAAGCACUGGAGAAGAUCCCAGAUUAUGGAGGCCCUCACUCUCCAAGGGGAGUGUCCUGGCCCUCACAGUGGACAUGAUGGACAAUCACUGGAGCUGAAGGAGAAUCCUUAGGCAGUGUAAGAGCCUGAUAAUGUUGAAGAGCAGACAUUGCUUUGUGAGAGUGAGAGAAGUAAAACUAGGCUUCUCGACUAAUUUCCAUUCAAGGAAAGCUACUCGAACCACAUUUUACUCUCUUCCUCCUUCACAUUUGGACCUCACCUGUGUCAUUUGCUUCAUUCAGGUCCACCUACCUGGGCAAAACACCCCAUGGGCACAGUCUCCUGUGACAGAAACAGAAAGUAGCCAACAAAAGGUAAUGGCUGCCCUGAGGAUUGGCCUAGUUUGAGCUUAACUCCUGACUCACACCUAUGCAGAUGGACCAAGGAGUAACCCAGGCUCCUGAUUACUCAUUACCGUUACUCAUUAUAACACUAAAACCUCCACCCAAGGAGGAACACAGACCUCAUUUAUACAAGAUACUAAGUAUGUAAAGAACUGUUACCUUAAGGAACAUGUGUGACCUUAUGCCCACUUCUGUAUAAUAUGACAAGGCCUCUCUUUCUAAAUAUCCACCCUAACCCUAAAUAAAAGGAAACCAUUCCCUUCCCUC
This is a long non-coding RNA of Suricata suricatta (meerkat), 784 nucleotides long. RefSeq lists it as uncharacterized. The transcript has 2 exons. Lineage: Eukaryota; Metazoa; Chordata; Mammalia; Carnivora; Herpestidae. The record is from RefSeq and is a predicted model, not a curated record.